This 467-nucleotide ribosomal RNA is filed under the name uncultured bacterium. RNAcentral describes it as "partial 16S ribosomal RNA". It matches the Rfam family "Bacterial small subunit ribosomal RNA", at positions 28 to 506 of the family's 1533-position model. The record is from RNAcentral.
GAUGAACGCUGGCGGCGUGCUUAACACAUGCAAGUCGAACGGUGAAGGCGGAGCUUGCUCUGCUGGAUCAGUGGCGAACGGGUGAGUAACACGUGAGCAAUCUGCCCCUGACUCUGGGAUAAGCGCUGGAAACGGCGUCUAAUACUGGAUACGAGCUGCGAAGGCAUCUUCAGCAGCUGGAAAGAAUUUCGGUCAGGGAUGAGCUCGCGGCCUAUCAGCUUGUUGGUGAGGUAAUGGCUCACCAAGGCGUCGACGGGUAGCCGGCCUGAGAGGGUGACCGGCCACACUGGGACUGAGACACGGCCCAGACUCCUACGGGAGGCAGCAGUGGGGAAUAUUGCACAAUGGGCGAAAGCCUGAUGCAGCAACGCCGCGUGAGGGACGACGGCCUUCGGGUUGUAAACCUCUUUUAGCAGGGAAGAAGCGAAAGUGACGGUACCUGCAGAAAAAACGCCGGCUAACUACGU